This 67-nucleotide transfer RNA is filed under the name Distoleon nigricans. Its description in RNAcentral is "tRNA-Phe". It matches the Rfam family "tRNA". Rfam says of the family: Transfer RNA (tRNA) molecules are approximately 80 nucleotides in length. Their secondary structure includes four short double-helical elements and three loops (D, anti-codon, and T loops). Further hydrogen bonds mediate the characteristic L-shaped molecular structure. tRNAs have two regions of fundamental functional importance: the anti-codon, which is responsible for specific mRNA codon recognition, and the 3' end, to which the tRNAs corresponding amino acid is attached (by aminoacyl-tRNA synthetases). tRNAs cope with the degeneracy of the genetic code in two manners: having more than one tRNA (with a specific anti-codon) for a particular amino acid; and 'wobble' base-pairing, i.e. permitting non-standard base-pairing at the 3rd anti-codon position. Lineage: Eukaryota; Metazoa; Arthropoda; Insecta; Neuroptera; Myrmeleontidae. The record is from RNAcentral.
AUUUAAAUAGCUUAAAUUUUAGAGCGUGACACUGAAGAUGUUAAGGUAGUAUUUGUACUUUUAAAUA